RNAcentral lists this ribosomal RNA (472 nucleotides) under uncultured bacterium. RNAcentral's name for it is "bacterial SSU rRNA". It matches the Rfam family "Bacterial small subunit ribosomal RNA", at positions 791 to 1262 of the family's 1533-position model. The record is from RNAcentral.
UAGUCCACGCCGUAAACGAUGAAUACUAGGUGUUGGGGGUCAAACCUCGGUGCCGCAGCUAACGCAUUAAGUAUUCCGCCUGGGGAGUACGCACGCAAGUGUGAAACUCAAAGGAAUUGACGGGGACCCGCACAAGUAGCGGAGCAUGUGGUUUAAUUCGAAGCAACGCGAAGAACCUUACCAAAUCUUGACAUCCAAGUGACCGGUCCUUAAUCGGACCUUCCCUUCGGGGCACCUGAGACAGGUGGUGCAUGGUUGUCGUCAGCUCGUGUCGUGAGAUGUUGGGUUAAGUCCCGCAACGAGCGCAACCCUUAUUUUUAGUUGCCAUCAGGUUAAGCUGGGCACUCUAGAGAGACUGCCGUGGACAACACGGAGGAAGGUGGGGAUGACGUCAAAUCAUCAUGCCCCUUAUGAUUUGGGGCUACACACGUGCUACAAUGGUCGGGUACAACGGGGCAGCGAAAGAGUAAUC